This 253-nucleotide ribosomal RNA is filed under the name uncultured bacterium. RNAcentral's name for it is "partial 16S ribosomal RNA". It matches the Rfam family "Bacterial small subunit ribosomal RNA", at positions 524 to 776 of the family's 1533-position model. The record is from RNAcentral.
GACGGAGGGUGCUAGCGUUGUUCGGAAUGACUGGGCGUAAAGGGCGCGUAGGCGGCCGCUUGCGUCGGAUGUGAAAGCCCGGGGCUCAACCCCGGAACGGCAUCCGAUACGGGGCGGCUCGAGACCGAGAGAGGUGAGUGGAAUACCCAGUGUAGAGGUGAAAUUCGUAGAUAUUGGGUGGAACACCGGUGGCGAAAGCGGCUCACUGGCUCGGUUCUGACGCUGAGGUGCGAAAGCGUGGGGAGCAAACAGG